This 893-nucleotide long non-coding RNA is filed under the name Equus caballus (horse). RNAcentral describes it as "lncRNA (ENSECAG00000040370.3)". The record is from RNAcentral. Lineage: Eukaryota; Metazoa; Chordata; Mammalia; Perissodactyla; Equidae.
AGUGAAUCAGUCACGUGUUGCUGCUGAGUAUGGGGAAGCUCCAACCAUUCAUGAAAUUAAAUCCUGUCAUUCAAGUUCCACAUCUCACGCCAGCUACUCUCUGAUGCUUUCCCCAACUUCUUCAGCAGCAGGACAAUCAAUGUCUACACCAAAGAAGCAUUCCUGAUUACCCUGAAUAAUGUGCAUAAUUCAAGACUAAUUUUCCCAUGUGAACCAAAGAGAUGACAAGUACUUCUACUUAUCAGUUAAAGUGGGACUACCACAUGGUAAUAACAUAAAGAGAAUUUAUAAUUUACUUCAUCUUCAUACCUUGAAAAUAUGUAAUGGCUAACAAAUUUUAAACAUUAUGAGAGAGAUAUCUUAUUUUGAAAACUAUGCAUAAAAAGACGCUUGGAAUACCUCUGUUUGUUCAUAACCAGCUGAGCUAUGAUCUAACUGAAGAAUAUUCAGGAUUAUAAGCAUAAGAGCAGGAAAACGGAGGAAUUUUAGAGGAAAGACCUGAAAAGGAAUCCAAAUACAUCUCAAGAAAUUUAAAAAUUUCUGUCUUUACUGAAUGUUUACCUUCAAGAAUUUACAAAAAAGAACAUACAAAAUAUAUUAGUGGGACUGUAGAAAGAGGACAAUGCGUUAAUCAUGAAGAUGUGAGAUAAAUAAAAUAGUGGCUGUUUUCUACUCUGAACAAAAGCCUUACUAUUUUAAAGGCAAAGACCAAUGGGUGAAACUGCUGUGGGUGAGAUUGUGCAGAAUGAAGAAGCAUCCAUUACAAGCUCCAGAAUGAAUAUCCAUCAUGACAGUGAUGCAUAAAGAAGAAAUCAAUGCAAGGGUGUAGUUUGUUCACACAUAGUAGGAAAAGCUGGAUAGAAUGCUUCCCAGGCAUAUUUAAAGUCUACAGC